UGCUGCUGUGCCACACGGAUUCCUCUGAC
This 29-nucleotide non-coding RNA is filed under the name Homo sapiens (human). The record is from RNAcentral. Lineage: Eukaryota; Metazoa; Chordata; Mammalia; Primates; Hominidae.